UACAGAGGUGGCAAGCGUUGUUCGGAAUUACUGGGCGUAAAGGGCGCGUAGGCGGCCUUCUAAGUCAGACGUGAAAUCCCCCGGCUUAACCUGGGAACUGCGUCUGAUACUGGGAGGCUUGAGUAUGGGAGAGGGAUGUAGAAUUCCAGGUGUAGCGGUGAAAUGCGUAGAUAUGACAUAGAACACCUAUUGCGAAGGCAGCUUACUACGCAGAUAUUGACGCUCAUGCACGAAAGCGUGGGGAUCAAACAGG
Molecule: ribosomal RNA, 253 nt
Filed under: uncultured bacterium
Lineage: Bacteria
Description: partial 16S ribosomal RNA
Rfam family: Bacterial small subunit ribosomal RNA
Source: RNAcentral